AUUGAACGCUGGCGGCAGGCUUAACACAUGCAAGUCGAGCGGGGUGAUGGUGCUUGCACUAUCACUUAGCGGCGGACGGGUGAGUAAUGCUUAGGAAUCUGCCUAUUAGUGGGGGACAACAUCUCGAAAGGGAUGCUAAUACCACAUACGUCCUACGGGAGAAAGCAGGGGAUCACUUGUGACCUUGCGCUAAUAGAUGAGCCUAAGUCGGAUUAGCUAGUUGGUGGGGUAAAGGCCUACCAAGGCGGCGAUCUGUAGCGGGUCUGAGAGGAUGAUCCGCCACACUGGGACUGAGACACGGCCCAGACUCCUACGGGAGGCAGCAGUGGGGAAUAUUGGACAAUGGGGGGAACCCUGAUCCAGCCAUGCCGCGUGUGUGAAGAAGGCCUUAUGGUUGUAAAGCACUUUAAGCGAGGAGGAGGCUCUUUUGGUUAAUACCCAAGAUGAGUGGACGUUACUCGCAGAAUAAGCACCGGCUAACUCUGUGCCAGCAGCCGCGGUAA
RNAcentral lists this ribosomal RNA (503 nucleotides) under uncultured bacterium. RNAcentral's name for it is "partial 16S ribosomal RNA". It matches the Rfam family "Bacterial small subunit ribosomal RNA", at positions 30 to 523 of the family's 1533-position model. The record is from RNAcentral.